This 138-nucleotide small nucleolar RNA is filed under the name Ornithorhynchus anatinus (platypus). The record is from RNAcentral. Lineage: Eukaryota; Metazoa; Chordata; Mammalia; Monotremata; Ornithorhynchidae.
CUCCUCUCAGGGUCACACCUGGAGAGUUCCCAGUACUCUACCAGUCUCGACUACAAGAGGGAGAGUCAGGCAGAGGCAUAUCCAUCCCAUUCCUAGCUUGGGCAGUGUCUAGCGAGUGGAAGGCAAUCUACUACAAGU